UACGUAGGGGGCGAGCGUUGUCCGGAUUUAUUGGGCGUAAAGAGCGUGUAGGCGGUCCGGUAAGUCAGCUGUGAAAGUCAAGGGCUCAACCCUUGAAAGCCGGUUGAUACUGUCGGGCUAGAGUCCGGAAGAGGCGAGUGGAAUUCCCGGUGUAGCGGUGAAAUGCGCAGAUAUCGGGAGGAACACCAAUGGCGAAGGCAGCUCGCUGGGACGGUACUGACGCUGAGACGCGAAAGCGUGGGGAGCAAACAGG
RNAcentral lists this ribosomal RNA (253 nucleotides) under uncultured bacterium. Its description in RNAcentral is "partial 16S ribosomal RNA". It matches the Rfam family "Bacterial small subunit ribosomal RNA", at positions 524 to 776 of the family's 1533-position model. The record is from RNAcentral.